This 253-nucleotide ribosomal RNA is filed under the name uncultured bacterium. RNAcentral's name for it is "partial 16S ribosomal RNA". It matches the Rfam family "Bacterial small subunit ribosomal RNA", at positions 524 to 776 of the family's 1533-position model. The record is from RNAcentral.
UACAGAGGUCCCGAGCGUUGUUCGGAUUCACUGGGCGUAAAGGGUGUGUAGGUGGUGAGGUAAGUCGGAUGUGAAAUCUCCGGGCUCAACCCGGAAAUGGCAUUGGAAACUACCUUGCUGGAGGAUUUGAGGGGGGAUUGGAAUACUUGGUGUAGCAGUGAAAUGCGUAGAUAUCAAGUGGAACACCAGUGGCGAAGGCGAAUCCCUGGAAAAUACCUGACACUGAGGCACGAAAGCUAGGGGAGCAAACAGG